Molecule: non-coding RNA, 293 nt
Organism: Arachis ipaensis
Lineage: Eukaryota; Viridiplantae; Streptophyta; Magnoliopsida; Fabales; Fabaceae
Source: RefSeq, a predicted model, not a curated record
AAGCCAACAGAAUUGGAGGAAAGGGAGAGGAGCUCUCAAACCCUAACCCUUUGAUCCACCAUAACUCCUUCGUCUGGGCUCCAAUCGCCGCACCGUUCACGGCCACGCGCUCAGCGCGUCGAGCUCUACCUUUCUAUCCAAACAAUUUCACUGAUUCAAGUUAGCUUCCAGAACUUGUGGGCUCAAGCUAUUGAGCAUAUGGGUAUGGUGUAGGUUAAGUGGGUGUUUAUGCAUUGGAAUUGAAUUGGGAUUACUUGGAGGUUUAUUGGUGAUCAAGGCUUGUUUUGGGGCUG